This 254-nucleotide ribosomal RNA is filed under the name uncultured bacterium. RNAcentral describes it as "partial 16S ribosomal RNA". It matches the Rfam family "Bacterial small subunit ribosomal RNA", at positions 524 to 776 of the family's 1533-position model. The record is from RNAcentral.
UACGGGGGGGGGCAAGCGUUGUUCGGAAUUACUGGGCGUAAAGGGCUCGUAGGUGGCCAACUAAGUCAGACGUGAAAUCCUUCGGCUUAACCGGGGAACUGCGUCUGAUACUGGAUGGCUUGAGUUCGGGAGAGGGAUGCGGAAUUCCAGGUGUAGCGGUGAAAUGCGUAGAUAUCAGGAAGAACACCCGUGGCGAAGGCGGUUCUCUGGGACGGUACUGACGCUGAGACGCGAAAGCGUGGGGAGCGAACAGG